ACUAACACACUAAGAUUCCAAUUUGGAUGCCAUGACCAUUUGAGAGCAUCGUUGGAAUAUUUAAAUGGAUCAGAAAUGUUCUCCAACAUUUAUCUAAAUGUUAAAGGGAAUAAUAUGACUUUCUAAGUAUAUGGUUGGAAAACAUAUUUAAUGAUUCGCUUAUGUUUUUCCCGAUAUUUGCUUGGUCGUGUUCAUUUUGUUUCCGAGAGAAAACUAUCAAAUAUUCGAGAAGAUGAUAACGUGACAUCCUCGUGUGCAAAUGUUAUUCCAACAUUUAUUCCGUCGUUGAGAGUGGGAUAACGU
This 303-nucleotide long non-coding RNA is filed under the name Brachypodium distachyon (stiff brome). Its description in RNAcentral is "long non-coding RNA (BDIS_LNC004259)". Lineage: Eukaryota; Viridiplantae; Streptophyta; Magnoliopsida; Poales; Poaceae. The record is from RNAcentral.